GCAAGUCGAACGGGAAUCUUCGGAUUCUAGUGGCGGACGGGUGAGUAACGCGUAAGAAUCUAACUUCAGGACGGGGACAACAGUUGGAAACGACUGCUAAUACCCGAUGUGCCGAAAGGUGAAACCUAAUUGGCCUGGAGAAGAGCUUGCGUCUGAUUAGCUAGUUGGUGGGGUAAAGGCCUACCAAGACGACGAUCAGUAGCUGGUCUGAGAGGAUGAGCAGCCACACUGGGACUGAGACACGGCCCAGACUCCUACGGGAGGCAGCAGUGGGGAAUUUUCCGCAAUGGGCGAAAGCCUGACGGAGCAACGCCGCGUGAGGGAGGAAGGUCUUUGGAUUGUAAACCUCUUUUCUCAAGGAAGAAGUUCUGACGGUACUUGAGGAAUCAGCCUCGGCUAACUCCGUGCCAGCAGCCGCGGUAAUACGGGGGAGGCAAGCGUUAUCCGGAAUUAUUGGGCGUAAAGCGUCCGCAGGUGGUCAGCCAAGUCUGCCGUCAAAUCAGGUUGCUUAACGACCUAAAGGCGGUGGAAACUGGCAGACUAGAGAGCAGUAGGGGUAGCAGGAAUUCCCAGUGUAGCGGUGAAAUGCGUAGAGAUUGGGAAGAACAUCGGUGGCGAAAGCGUGCUACUGGGCUGUAUCUGACACUCAGGGGCGAAAGCUAGGGGAGCGAAAGGGAUUAGAUACCCCUGUAGUCCUAGCCGUAAACGAUGGAUACUAGGCGUGGCUUGU
This 730-nucleotide ribosomal RNA is filed under the name uncultured cyanobacterium. RNAcentral's name for it is "bacterial SSU rRNA". It matches the Rfam family "Bacterial small subunit ribosomal RNA", at positions 57 to 830 of the family's 1533-position model. The record is from RNAcentral. Lineage: Bacteria; Bacillati; Cyanobacteriota.